AGGAAGGUGAGCUAAUUCCUCAAGCCCUGUGUUAAAGCUACAUCAUGGAAUAGAAUUGGAAGGGAAACAAGUCAGAGCAGAGGAGCUCAAAGUGGGAAUCCGCAGCUUUCUAGGAUCUCCUUCAAGGACUGUGGAGUGAACCUGCCUUUAAUAACUUUGACCAAAGCAAUAUUUUGUCUUUCCCCUUCUGCCACGGAAUGAUGGAGUGCGGCCAGCCCCACGCCCUCCUGCUGUGCAGACCCGGGGUACCCGCAGCUCCUUGGGGGGUUCAGCAUCCCUCCUGUCCCCGCCAUGGGUAUCACCUGCUGAGAAUGAGACUCUAAUUUACGGCAGUCCCAUUGGCAGGGAAAUCAGACAAUCAGCAGCCUCGGACCAGAGGAAGGACUUUGGAUCUCUGCAGCAACAUCCAUCCCUCAGGCAUC
This is a long non-coding RNA of Pogoniulus pusillus (Red-fronted tinkerbird), 422 nucleotides long. RefSeq lists it as uncharacterized. NCBI's taxonomy places the organism in Eukaryota, Metazoa, Chordata, Aves, Piciformes, Lybiidae. The record is from RefSeq and is a predicted model, not a curated record. The transcript is spliced from 3 exons.